This 1233-nucleotide ribosomal RNA is filed under the name Salinicola halophilus. RNAcentral describes it as "bacterial SSU rRNA". It matches the Rfam family "Bacterial small subunit ribosomal RNA", at positions 96 to 1326 of the family's 1533-position model. The record is from RNAcentral. Lineage: Bacteria; Pseudomonadati; Pseudomonadota; Gammaproteobacteria; Oceanospirillales; Halomonadaceae.
CGGCGGACGGGUGAGUAAUGCAUAGGAAUCUGCCCGGUAGUGGGGGAUAACGUGGGGAAACCCACGCUAAUACCGCAUACGUCCUACGGGAGAAAGCGGAGGAUCUUCGGACUUCGCGCUAUCGGAUGAGCCUAUGUCGGAUUAGCUAGUUGGUAAGGUAACGGCUUACCAAGGCGACGAUCCGUAGCUGGUCUGAGAGGAUGAUCAGCCACACUGGGACUGAGACACGGCCCAGACUCCUACGGGAGGCAGCAGUGGGGAAUAUUGGACAAUGGGCGAAAGCCUGAUCCAGCCAUGCCGCGUGUGUGAAGAAGGCUUUCGGGUUGUAAAGCACUUUCAGCGAGGAAGAAAGCCUGUCGGUUAAUACCCGGCAGGAACGACAUCACUCGCAGAAGAAGCACCGGCUAACUCCGUGCCAGCAGCCGCGGUAAUACGGAGGGUGCGAGCGUUAAUCGGAAUUACUGGGCGUAAAGCGCGCGUAGGUGGCUUGGCACGCCAGGUGUGAAAGCCCCGGGCUCAACCUGGGAACGGCAUCUGGAACGGCCAAGCUAGAGUGCAGGAGAGGAAGGUGGAAUUCCCGGUGUAGCGGUGAAAUGCGUAGAGAUCGGGAGGAAUACCAGUGGCGAAGGCGGCCUUCUGGCCUGACACUGACACUGAGGUGCGAAAGCGUGGGUAGCAAACAGGAUUAGAUACCCUGGUAGUCCACGCCGUAAACGAUGUCGACUAGCCGUUGGGACCUUUAAGGACUUAGUGGCGCAGUUAACGCGAUAAGUCGACCGCCUGGGGAGUACGGCCGCAAGGUUAAAACUCAAAUGAAUUGACGGGGGCCCGCACAAGCGGUGGAGCAUGUGGUUUAAUUCGAUGCAACGCGAAGAACCUUACCUACCCUUGACAUCCUGCGAACCCGGAAGAGAUUCCGGGGUGCCUUCGGGAACGCAGUGACAGGUGCUGCAUGGCUGUCGUCAGCUCGUGUUGUGAAAUGUUGGGUUAAGUCCCGUAACGAGCGCAACCCUUGUCCUUAUUUGCCAGCGAUUCGGUCGGGAACUCUAAGGAGACUGCCGGUGACAAACCGGAGGAAGGUGGGGACGACGUCAAGUCAUCAUGGCCCUUACGGGUAGGGCUACACACGUGCUACAAUGGCCGGUACAAAGGGUUGCGAGACCGCGAGGUGGAGCGAAUCCCAUAAAGCCGGCCUCAGUCCGGAUCGGAGUCUGCAACUCGACUCCGUGAAGU